Molecule: ribosomal RNA, 253 nt
Filed under: uncultured bacterium
Lineage: Bacteria
Description: partial 16S ribosomal RNA
Rfam family: Bacterial small subunit ribosomal RNA
Source: RNAcentral
UACGGAGGGUGCAAGCGUUAUCCGGAUUCACUGGGUUUAAAGGGUGCGUAGGUGGGUUUGUAAGUCAGUGGUGAAAUCUCCAAGCUUAACUUGGAAACUGCCGUUGAUACUAUAAAUCUUGAAUGUUGUGGAGGUGAGCGGAAUAUGUCAUGUAGCGGUGAAAUGCUUAGAUAUGACAUAGAACACCAAUUGCGAAGGCAGCUCACUACACAAAGAUUGACACUGAGGCACGAAAGCGUGGGGAGCGAACAGG